Small nucleolar RNA from Panicum hallii, 139 nucleotides. RefSeq annotates it as small nucleolar RNA Z247. Lineage: Eukaryota; Viridiplantae; Streptophyta; Magnoliopsida; Poales; Poaceae. The transcript has a single exon. The record is from RefSeq and is a predicted model, not a curated record.
CCUCUUGAUGAUGAAGAGUUGGUGAUGUAUAUUUGCAAUGGUCUAGAUCUAGAAUUCAAUCAUUUAGUUUCUGCUCUUGUAACUAGGAUUGAACCUGUUACCCCUGCUGAACUGUACUCACAAUUACUAAGUUUUGAGA